This 517-nucleotide ribosomal RNA is filed under the name uncultured bacterium. Its description in RNAcentral is "partial 16S ribosomal RNA". It matches the Rfam family "Bacterial small subunit ribosomal RNA", at positions 28 to 523 of the family's 1533-position model. The record is from RNAcentral.
GACGAACGCUGGCGGCGUGCCUAAUACAUGCAAGUCGAGCGGACCGGAUUGGGGCUUGCCUUGAUUCGGUCAGCGGCGGACGGGUGAGUAACACGUGGGCAACCUGCCCGCAAGACCGGGAUAACUCCGGGAAACCGGAGCUAAUACCGGAUAACACCGAAGACCGCAUGGUCUUCGGUUGAAAGGCGGCCUUUGGGCUGUCACCUGCGGAUGGGCCCGCGGCGGAUUAGCUAGUUGGUGAGGUAACGGCUCACCAAGGCGACGAUGCGUAGCCGGCCGGGGAGGGUGACCGGCCACACUGGGACUGAGACACGGCCCAGACUCCUACGGGAGGCAGCAGUAGGGAAUCUUCCGCAAUGGGCGAAAGCCUGACGGAGCGACGCCGCGUGAGCGAAGAAGGCCUUCGGGUCGUAAAGCUCUGUUGUGAGGGACGAAGGAGCGCCGUUCGAAGAGGGCGGCGCGGUGACGGUACCUCACGAGAAAGCCCCGGCUAACUACGUGCCAGCCGCCGCAGUAA